ACCUCUCAUCUCACAAGCUAGCUAGUUGCUGUAGCUGCCAUGGCCAGGGAUCUCGCCUUCGUCCUCCUCGUCCUUGCCGCGCUAGCCGCCUUCUCGUCAGCGACCAAGCUGACCAUCCACAACCUCUGCCCGCACCCGGUCUGGCCGCUCGUCACCCCCAACGCCGGCCUUCCGUCCAUCUCCGAAAACACCGCGCGCCUCGACACCAACGCGAUUCUCUCCCUCACCUUCCCACCCACCUUCUGGGCCGGCCGCGUCGCGGCCCGCACCGGCUGCAACGACGGCACGUCGCCGCCGCGCGGGUGCUUCACGGGCGACGCGCCGCCGUCCACCGUCGCGCAGAUCACGGUCCACGACAGCGGGAACCUGGACCUCGCCGCGUACAGCGUCAGCCUCGUAGACGGGUUCAACGUGCCGAUGGUGUUGAGCCCGCAGGCCAUCGGCGGCGGGCAGUGCCCGGCGCUCGGCUGCGUCGUGGACCUCAACUGCGACUGCUCUCCGGACAACCGCGCCGCCGAAGGCACCGCGUGCCGCGGGCCCGCGGGGUACUUCAAGAACCGUUGCCCGCUCACCAGGACCACGCCGACAGACGUGGAGCCCGUGCCGCAGAGCUGCCGCGCGCCCGGGGAGCUUAAGAUCGUCCUCUGUCAAUCGUCCACAGGGGCGGAGCUAGCCUAAUGCAAGGAAAUCCUGGCUCCGCCACUGGUCGUCCAUGCUCCAGUGCGGCGCCGCGGCGGCGGAGGACGCCGACAUGGUCAUCCGCACCGUCGUCGCCGACAACUAGAGCCCGGAGCUCCGUGUUGUCCUCGCUUUGCCGUACUUCUACGCCAUGCGCGAUCCGUGCGGUCGAUUCUCUACAACAAUAUGCUAGCGGUAGAAAAUGAAGUGGAGUCGAAGAAAGAAGCCUCGGCAUUGGAGAAUAGUUUCAGUAACGGCCGGCGGUCCGGCUCGAAAAAUCGGGAACCGGUACCUUGUCCGGUGUUUUUAAGGUGUAUAGGUCUUUUGGUGAAAAAAAUCAAGAAAAUAUUUUAAAAAUGAUGUAAAAACUCAAACAACUAACCUUGAGGCAAGGCAUGCCAAGGUUAGAACACUUUGUGAUUUAUUAUUGGGUUACGUUUGAUAUAAUGUGCAUUCAUUUGAUUUUUGGUCAAAAUUUUGAAAAAGUACCUUAAAUCUUUUGAUAUAUUUUUUCACAAUUGUGCCAAUGCAUAGGUGAUCUGACCAAUCAAAACGUGAACAGACAACCUCAUAAGUUCAGUUGCCGGUUUGCUUUUCUCAACUUUGUAAUAGAGGAGCCCUGAAAUGAGAUAUUGCUGGAGACUGGGGUUAGAGAUCUAGGUUCGGGGUGAUAAGGGUCAC
Molecule: RNA transcript, 1359 nt
Organism: Triticum dicoccoides
Lineage: Eukaryota; Viridiplantae; Streptophyta; Magnoliopsida; Poales; Poaceae
Gene name: osmotin-like protein
Exons: 3
Source: RefSeq, a predicted model, not a curated record